AUGAACGCUGGCGGCGUGCCUAAUCCCUGCAAGUCGCGCGAACAGACGAGGAGCUUGCUCCUCUGACGUUAGCGGCGGACGGGUGAGUAACACGUGGAUAACCUACCUAUAAGACUGGGAUAACUUCGGGAAACCGGAGCUAAUACCGGAUAAUAAAUUGAACCGCAUGGUUCAAUAGUGAAAGACGGUUUUGCUGUCACUUAUAGAUGGAUCCGCGCCGCAUUAGCUAGUUGGUAAGGUAACGGCUUACCAAGGCGACGAUGCGUAGCCGACCUGAGAGGGUGAUCGGCCACACUGGAACUGAGACACGGUCCAGACUCCUACGGGAGGCAGCAGUAGGGAAUCUUCCGCAAUGGGCGAAAGCCUGACGGAGCAACGCCGCGUGAGUGAUGAAGGUCUUCGGAUCGUAAAACUCUGUUAUUAGGGAAGAACAAAUGUGUAAGUAACUAUGCACGUCUUGACGGUACCUAAUCAGAAAGCCACGGCUAACUACGUG
This 496-nucleotide ribosomal RNA is filed under the name uncultured bacterium. Its description in RNAcentral is "partial 16S ribosomal RNA". It matches the Rfam family "Bacterial small subunit ribosomal RNA", at positions 29 to 507 of the family's 1533-position model. The record is from RNAcentral.